RNAcentral lists this ribosomal RNA (444 nucleotides) under uncultured bacterium. RNAcentral's name for it is "bacterial SSU rRNA". It matches the Rfam family "Bacterial small subunit ribosomal RNA", at positions 1 to 504 of the family's 1533-position model. The record is from RNAcentral.
GACUAGAGUUUGAUCCUGGCUCAGAACGAACGCUGGCGGCAGGCCUAACACAUGCAAGUCGAACGAUAUAGUGGCAGACGGGUGAGUAACGCGUGGGAACGUACCUUUCACUACGGAAUAGCUCUGGGAAACUGGUGGUAAUACCGUAUACGCCCUCCGGGGGAAAGAUUUAUCGGUGAAAGAUCGGCCCGCGUUGGAUUAGCUAGUUGGUGAGGUAAUGGCUCACAAAGGCGACGAUCCAUAGCUGGUCUGAGAGGAUGAUCAGCCACACUGGGACUGAGACACGGCCCAGACUCCUACGGGAGGCAGCAGUGGGGAAUCUUGCACAAUGGGCGAAAGCCUGAUGCAGCCAUGCCGCGUGAAUGAUGAAGGCCUUAGGGUUGUAAAAUUCUUUCGUCAGGGAUGAUAAUGACCGUACCUGAAGAAGAAGCCCCGGCUAACUUC